Molecule: ribosomal RNA, 354 nt
Filed under: uncultured bacterium
Lineage: Bacteria
Description: SSU rRNA
Rfam family: Bacterial small subunit ribosomal RNA
Source: RNAcentral
AGAACGAACGCUGGCGGCGUGGAUAAGACAUGCAAGUCGAACGCGACUUAUUGAGUUAGCAAUAACCUGAUAAGUUGAGUGGCGAAAGGGUGCGUAACACGUGGGAAUUUACCAAGAAGUGGGGAAUAGCUCGACGAAAGUCGAAUUAAUACCGCAUAUGAUCGCAAGAUCAAAGCCGGGGACCGCAAGGCCUGGCGCUUUUUGAGAAGCCCGCGGCCCAUCAGCUAGUUGGCGGGUAAAAGCCACCAAGGCUAUGACGGGUAGCUGGUCUGAGAGGACGACCAGCCACACUGGAACUGAGACACGGUCCAGACACCUACGGGUGGCAGCAGUCGAGAAUUUUUCACAAUGGAC